CCUACGGGAGACAGCAGUGAGGAAUAUUGGUCAAUGGGCGAAAUCCUGAACCAGCCAAGCCGCGUGAGGGAAGACGGCCCUAUGGGUUGUAAACCUCUUUUGUCGGAGAACAAAACCCGGGACGAGUCCCGGACUGCGUGUAUCCGAAGAAAAAGCAUCGGCUAACUCCGUGCCAACAGCCGCGGUAAUACGGAGGAUUCGAGCGUUAUCCGGAUUUAUUGGGUUUAAAGGGUGCGUAGGCGGUCUGUUAAGUCAGGGGUAAAAUUGCGGGGCUCCACCCCGGCGAGCCGUUGAAACUGGCAGCCUUGAGUUGGCGAGCAGUACGCGGAAUGCGUGGUGUAGCGGUGAAAUGCAUAGAUAUCGCGCAGAACUCCGAUUGCGAAGGCAGCGUACCGGCGCCCGACUGACGUUGAGGCACGAAAGCGUGGGGAGCGAACAGGAUUAGAUACCCUGGUAGUC
Molecule: ribosomal RNA, 459 nt
Filed under: uncultured bacterium
Lineage: Bacteria
Description: partial 16S ribosomal RNA
Rfam family: Bacterial small subunit ribosomal RNA
Source: RNAcentral